UUAAGUUCAGCGGGUAGUCCUACCUGAUUUGAGGUCAAGUGGUCAGGUGAAUUGUCCACCGGGGUGGACCGCUGGAAGCUGGGUAAGCAUGCAUCCCGCCAAGUGUAGACGAGUUAUUAUCACACAAGGCUGCAGAUUGCACGAGAUGGGCCCCUGCUAAUGCUUUUCAGAGGAGCUGGCCAACAAAGGGGCCAGCAGAG
This 200-nucleotide unclassified non-coding RNA is filed under the name Pluteus sp. Its description in RNAcentral is "partial internal transcribed spacer 2". Lineage: Eukaryota; Fungi; Basidiomycota; Agaricomycetes; Agaricales; Pluteaceae. The record is from RNAcentral.